UUUGCUUUUAAGGCUUUUAAUGUGCUUUAAAUGUAAAUUCUUUCAGUAUAUGUAUGAGGUGUGGGGUUAAACUUUAAAUAUGCUUGUUCUAAAAUAAUGAUAAGGUUCAUAUAUAUGCUAACUAACACUGCUAAGGGACAGUAAAAAAAAAAAAAAAAAAAUUGUUUCACUUUACAAAUAGAUUUACACAUUUCUGGCCAUUUUCCUGUCACAAAUAGAUACAGCUCGGGUAUGAUUUCUGUCUGCCUCAUAAUACAAAAGCAUUGAUGUGCAAAAUCAGCUUCAUCUUUGCUGCAAAAUGCAUUUUAGGCAACACAAUAAUAUUUCAUAUUGAAUCAGCAAUCUCUGUAUAUUCUAUCUGGUUUGGGCAUGAUGGUAAAGUCACAGAUUUUAUUUGAGUUCUCUACAUUCUCUAACCAUUCCACUUUCCUAUUCAACCAACUUUGUGCCCUUUUGAAUCAUUUUAUUUUAUUUUAUUUUUAUACUUAUUUCAAUUUAAUUUAUUUAAAUGCACAUUGCUGUAUAGCACUUUUGCUCUUUUGUUGGAUCGCCACAUGACAUUCAGUGUAAAAAUCUGGCUUAUGAAGUAAAACUGAAUGUGAGCCGCUGCUCUGCAUGUCCAUGUCGUGAGGUUUUAUUUUAAAAAUCACUCUUUGUAAUUCUUUGUAAGCGAUUUCUCGUCUUUUUGAUAGGUGGUUGUAUUUAAUUUAUUGCAUAUUACAUAUUACAUUCUGGCGCAGCACUGCUUCAUUUCUCAAGGCGUUUAACAUGCUGCGACACAUUCAGCUCUUUUACAGUACAGUGUGGCUUUCUGCUGUGCCCUUCCCAGUAGCACAGCGCUCAGUGCUUUCAAUAAUUCACUGUUUACUUAAUCUAAGGUGUUAAAUAGUUAAUUAGAAGGAGGGCUGGGGUCCUCUGUGUCUCCUCUUGGUCUACUGCUCCAAAAGCCUGCUUGGCAGCUCUGAAAACCAUCCGUUCGCCAUCAUGACAUUUUCCACCCCCAGCAUUUGAAGCGAAACUCUUCUGCAGAACUAACAAUGUUGCUGCCUGCCCAGUGACCUGCUUUAUAUCCGAGUCAAAGACACUGGCUUUUCAGAAGCUAAUGCUAAAUCCACACAGACAGACAGAGAGAGCGAUGCAAAAGGAUGUGUGAUACUAAACCGUCUCUUAGGGGAGCAAUGGAAAUGGUAACCGAAACCCAUUGACAAGAUUGUAGAAACUGACGCCGCCUACAUUUCCAUUUUGAAAAGACUGAUCAAUAAAAUGUCACCACCAAUGUAGUUGCAUUUUAUCUGUUUGUUUGUAUCAAAAACUGCCAUUAUAACGACCUGAGCAUCCUCAGAGGAUAAUUCAGUACUCCAAUACCAUAAAAAAAUUUAAUAAAAAAAGUAAAAUAUUAAUAUUAAAUUAUUCUUCAUCCUGAAGGUCAAUUUAAUUUAAUUUAAUUUAAUUUAAUUUAAUUUAAUUUAAUUUAAUUUAAUUUUCUAAAUUGUUUAUACUUUUGUUUUCUUUUGGUUUUAGUUUUGCUUUCUUUUGUUUUGUGUUGUUUUUGUUUUUCUUUUCAUUUUUUUUU
Cyprinus carpio carpio is the source of this 1573-nucleotide long non-coding RNA. Lineage: Eukaryota; Metazoa; Chordata; Actinopteri; Cypriniformes; Cyprinidae. The record is from Ensembl.